GACGAACGCUGGCGGCGUGCUUAACACAUGCAAGUCGAACGGAAAGGUCCUGCUUUUGUGGGGUGCUCGAGUGGCGAACGGGUGAGUAACACGUGAGUAACCUGUCCUUGACUUUGGGAUAACUUCAGGAAACUGGGGCUCAUACCGGAUAGGAGCUCCUGCUGCAUGGUGGGGGUUGGAAAGUUUCGGCGGUUGGGGAUGGACUCGCGGCUUAUCAGCUUGAUGGUGGGGUAGUGGCUUACCAAGGCUAUGACGGGUAGCCGACCUGAGAGGGUGACCGGCCACAUUAGGACUGAGAUACGGCACAGACUCCUACGGGACGCAGCAGUGGGGAAUAUUGCACAAUAGGCGGAAGCCUGAUGCAGCAACGCCGCGUGCGGGAUGACGGCCUUCGGGUUGUAAACCGCUUUCGCCUGUGACGAAGCGUGAGUGACGGUAAUGGGUAAAGAAGCACCGGCUAACUACGUG
RNAcentral lists this ribosomal RNA (468 nucleotides) under uncultured bacterium. RNAcentral describes it as "partial 16S ribosomal RNA". It matches the Rfam family "Bacterial small subunit ribosomal RNA", at positions 28 to 507 of the family's 1533-position model. The record is from RNAcentral.